Molecule: transfer RNA, 73 nt
Filed under: Acidithiobacillus thiooxidans
Lineage: Bacteria; Pseudomonadati; Pseudomonadota; Acidithiobacillia; Acidithiobacillales; Acidithiobacillaceae
Also listed under: 2 other names
Description: tRNA-Met
Rfam family: tRNA
About the family: Transfer RNA (tRNA) molecules are approximately 80 nucleotides in length. Their secondary structure includes four short double-helical elements and three loops (D, anti-codon, and T loops).
Source: RNAcentral
GGACAAUUAGCUCAGUUGGGAGAGCGGCGGGGUCAUAAUCCGCAGGUCGCCAGUUCGAUUCUGGCAUUGUCCU